This 77-nucleotide transfer RNA is filed under the name Alistipes sp. CAG:435. RNAcentral's name for it is "transfer RNA-Arg(TCT)". It matches the Rfam family "tRNA". Rfam says of the family: Transfer RNA (tRNA) molecules are approximately 80 nucleotides in length. Their secondary structure includes four short double-helical elements and three loops (D, anti-codon, and T loops). Further hydrogen bonds mediate the characteristic L-shaped molecular structure. tRNAs have two regions of fundamental functional importance: the anti-codon, which is responsible for specific mRNA codon recognition, and the 3' end, to which the tRNAs corresponding amino acid is attached (by aminoacyl-tRNA synthetases). tRNAs cope with the degeneracy of the genetic code in two manners: having more than one tRNA (with a specific anti-codon) for a particular amino acid; and 'wobble' base-pairing, i.e. permitting non-standard base-pairing at the 3rd anti-codon position. RNAcentral also lists the same sequence under 1 other name. Lineage: Bacteria; Pseudomonadati; Bacteroidota; Bacteroidia; Bacteroidales; Rikenellaceae. The record is from RNAcentral.
GGUUCCGUAGCUCAGCUGGAUAGAGCAACAGAUUUCUAAUCUGUGGGUCUAGGGUUCGAAUCCCUACGGAAUCACAA